Molecule: ribosomal RNA, 503 nt
Filed under: uncultured bacterium
Lineage: Bacteria
Description: partial 16S ribosomal RNA
Rfam family: Bacterial small subunit ribosomal RNA
Source: RNAcentral
AUUGAACGCUGGCGGCAGGCUUAACACAUGCAAGUCGAGCGGGGUGAUGGUGCUUGCACUAUCACUUAGCGGCGGACGGGUGAGUAAUGCUUAGGAAUCUGCCUAUUAGUGGGGGACAACAUCUCGAAAGGGAUGCUAAUACCGCAUACGUCCUACGGGAGAAAGCAGGGGAUCACUUGUGACCUUGCGCUAAUAGAUGAGCCUAAGUCGGAUUAGCUAGUUGGUGGGGUAAAGGCCUACCAAGGCGACGAUCUGUAGCGGGUCUGAGAGGAUAAUCCGCCACCCUGGGACUGAGGCACGGCCCAGACUCCUACGGGAGGCAGCAGUGGGGAAUAUUGGACAAUGGGGGGAACCCUGAUCCAGCCAUGCCGCGUGUGUGAAGAAGGCCUUAUGGUUGUAAAGCACUUUAAGCGAGGAGGAGGCUCUUUUGGUUAAUACCCAAGAUGAGUGGACGUUACUCGCAGAAUAAGCACCGGCUAACUCUGUGCCAGCCGCCGCGGUAA